AGGGAACAGGCUGGUUGGAUCCCAUGACAAUCCCCCAGUCCCCCACAGGGAGCACAUUAGCUUCUGUUUGGCUGAGAUAUCUGUACCCUUCUCCACCCAGAGACCUCAAGAGAUGGGGGCAUCAUCAUUUCCCUUUGCAGAUCCUUAAAAUAAACUGUAGCCAGCUCAGUGGAGAAGCAGAAGCAGACUGGGAGCAGCACACACCUGCUUUUCCUAGAGGCACCCACGUAAAGAAUAACUGAAAACAAUUUGCUGUUCUCCUGACCUGCCUCCUCAAGGGCUCCCAAGAUACAGGGACACCACCCAGAUCUCAUCAAGCUCAUUUGAAGAAAUCCUGAGCAGACGCAGAAGCAAAGAUAAUCUGCAAUACUAUCGCCAUCAGCUUGAACACCCACACACCACCAGGCAAGAUCUGUGAUUCCUGAUUGCCUCCUGUCCCUGAUAAGUUUCCUUUUCCCUCUGUAAACUGCUCCUGACUGUCAUCCCUUUUCUCCAAAGAGAGCCU
This 505-nucleotide long non-coding RNA is filed under the name Junco hyemalis (dark-eyed junco). RNAcentral describes it as "lncRNA (ENSJHYG00000017900.1)". The record is from RNAcentral. Lineage: Eukaryota; Metazoa; Chordata; Aves; Passeriformes; Passerellidae.